GAAUGUUUGUUGUUAUAAUCAGCAGGUGAUCAACACUUCCUUUCACUGUGUGUCUGUGUUUAUCGACGUAUUUGCUAUGACCUUAUGUUUUUUUUGUGGAUAAUGGAUAAAGGAAAUGAAAAUUUGGAUUUUUACGACAAUCUAUAUUUUUAAAUAUGUUGGCCAAAAAAAAAAAAAAUGAAGAAUGAUAAUGUCAUCUCUUUGGAUUUCAUUCCAUCUGUUGAUAAAACUAUUGUGUGUCUGCUUGAUGUGUAUACGUGACAUUUUUAUGACAUAUUGGUAAUGAUCACGAUGUGACGGACUGGCUGAUCUAUAACAAUAUAUAUUUAUUGUUAUUAUGGUCAUUCAUCAUUAA
Molecule: non-coding RNA, 355 nt
Organism: Dermatophagoides farinae (American house dust mite)
Lineage: Eukaryota; Metazoa; Arthropoda; Arachnida; Sarcoptiformes; Pyroglyphidae
Source: RefSeq, a predicted model, not a curated record